AUUGAACGCUGGCGGCAUGCCUAACACAUGCAAGUCGAACGGCAGCACGGCAGUAGCAAUACUGUGGGUGGCGAGUGGCGGACGGGUGAGGAAUACGUCGGAAUCUGCCCAGUCGUGGGGGAUAACUAGCCGAAAGGUUAGCUAAUACCGCAUACGACCGAGAGGUGAAAGCGGGGGACCGCAAGGCCUCGCGCGAUUGGAUGAGCCGACGUCGGAUUAGCUAGUUGGUGGGGUAAAGGCCCACCAAGGCGACGAUCCGUAGCUGGUCUGAGAGGAUGAUCAGCCACACUGGAACUGAGACACGGUCCAGACUCCUACGGGAGGCAGCAGUGGGGAAUAUUGGACAAUGGGCGCAAGCCUGAUCCAGCAAUGCCGCGUGUGUGAAGAAGGCCUUCGGUUGUAAAGCACUUUAUUCAGGAACGAAAAGACGUUGGAUUAAUACUCUGACGUGCUGACGGUACCUGAGGAAUAAGCACCGGCUAACUUCGUG
RNAcentral lists this ribosomal RNA (490 nucleotides) under uncultured bacterium. RNAcentral's name for it is "bacterial SSU rRNA". It matches the Rfam family "Bacterial small subunit ribosomal RNA", at positions 30 to 507 of the family's 1533-position model. The record is from RNAcentral.